ACGGGUGAGUAGCGCGUGGAUAAUCUGCCUUACACAACGGAAUAACAAAUGGAAACAGUUGCUAAUGCCGUAUAUGCGCACGGUGUCGCAUGACACAGGGCGAAAAUAUUUAUCGGUGUAAGAUGAGUCCGCGUCUGAGGUCUUGUUGGCGGGGUAAAAGCCCACCAAGGCGACGAUCGGUAACCGGCCUGAGAGGGUGAACGGCCACGUUGGGACUGAGACACUCCCCAGACUCCUACGGGAGGCAACUCUGGGGGAUAUUGCACAAUGGGCAAAAACCUGAUGCACCGACGCCACGUGAAGGAAGAAAUAUUUCGGUAUGUAAAGCUCUGUUGUUAGGGAAGAAUGAUUGUGUAUUAACUAUACGCAGUAAACACGGUACCUAACCAGAAAGCCACGGCUAACUACGUGCCAGCAGCCGCGGUAAUACCUAGGUGGCAAGCGUUGUCCGGAAUUAUUGGGCGUAAAGCGCGCGCAGGUGGUUUAGUAAGUCUGAUGUGAAAGCCCACGGCUCAACCGUGUAGAGUCAUUGUAAACUGUUAAACUUGAGUGCAAGAGAGAAAAGUGGAAUUCCUAGUGUAUCGGUGAAAAUGCGUAGAGAUUACGAGGAACACCAGUGGCUAACGCGGCUGUUUGUCAUGUAACUGAUACUGAGGCGCGAAAGCAUGCGGAGCUAACAAGACUAGAUACCCUGGCAGUCCACGCCGUAUGC
This 712-nucleotide ribosomal RNA is filed under the name uncultured bacterium. RNAcentral's name for it is "bacterial SSU rRNA". It matches the Rfam family "Bacterial small subunit ribosomal RNA", at positions 102 to 807 of the family's 1533-position model. The record is from RNAcentral.